This 497-nucleotide ribosomal RNA is filed under the name uncultured bacterium. Its description in RNAcentral is "partial 16S ribosomal RNA". It matches the Rfam family "Bacterial small subunit ribosomal RNA", at positions 28 to 507 of the family's 1533-position model. The record is from RNAcentral.
GAUGAACGCUGGCGGCGUGCCUAAUACAUGCAAGUCGAGCGAACAGAUGAGGAGCUUGCUCCUCUGACGUUAGCGGCGGACGGGUGAGUAACACGUGGAUAACCUACCUAUAAGACUGGGAUAACUUCGGGAAACCGGAGCUAAUACCGGAUAAUAUAUUGAUCCGCAUGGUUCAAUAGUGAAAGACGGUUUUGCUGUCACUUAUAGAUGGAUCCGCGCCGCAUUAGCUAGUUGGUAAGGUAACGGCUUACCAAGGCGACGAUGCGUAGCCGACCUGUGAGGGUGAUCGGCCACACUGGAACUGAGACACGGUCCAGACUCCUACGAGAGGCAGCAGUAGGGAAUCUUCCGCAAUGGGCGAAAGCCUGACGGAGCAACGCCGCGUGAGUGAUGAAAGUCUUCGGAUCGUAAGACUCUGUUAUUAGGGAAGAACAAAUGUGUAAGUAACUAUGCACGUCUUGACGGUACCUAAUCAGAAAGCCACGGCUAACUACGUG